Molecule: ribosomal RNA, 441 nt
Filed under: Triticum aestivum (bread wheat)
Lineage: Eukaryota; Viridiplantae; Streptophyta; Magnoliopsida; Poales; Poaceae
Description: partial small subunit ribosomal RNA
Source: RNAcentral
AUGGCUCCUUGCCGCGAACUUGACGGUGUCCAUGUGCGGAGGCAGGCGGAGGCCGACGUCGGCGAGCAGGCAGUGCAACGCAUUGACGGAGACGUGGUGGAGGUUAUUGGCGCCGAUCUGCUCCACCCACCUCAAGCUGACGAGAGGAAGAGGGAAGAUAGCUCAUUAGCUCUGCUAUGGCGCCAUGGCUGCCGGCCAGCGAGCGCCUCACCGCGGCUGCUGGCUGACGAGCACAGGGGAGCGCCUAGGGGGCGGCGAGGAGGCCGGAGGCGAAGGAGAGGGGCGGAGACCUUCUGCGCUGACCAGGUCACCGAUGAGCAGAGCCACAGCUGUCUCCCUCUUCCACCGGAUAAGGUGAACAAAGGAGUGCGGGCAGAGUUUUUUCAAAAUGAAGGGGCUACUUUGCAAAAACGAAUCAUUUUUCCCUUCACACUUGAAUAG